This 369-nucleotide ribosomal RNA is filed under the name Triticum aestivum (bread wheat). RNAcentral describes it as "partial small subunit ribosomal RNA". Lineage: Eukaryota; Viridiplantae; Streptophyta; Magnoliopsida; Poales; Poaceae. The record is from RNAcentral.
AUGAUAAACUUCGAAACCACUUCAGAGAGGGCAAUAAUUAGCAUAUCAGUUGAUGCUGACGGCGAGCAUGAUGAAAAUCCUCACACUAGGCCAGAUGGGCAAAAUAUUGCAGAAGAGGGAAAGAAAAAUGGAGGCGUCGAUGUGUACAAAGAGGAGCUUUGUGCUAUGAUCGAUACCAACAAAGAAUUGGUAGCAGAAGGGAAGGUAGAGAAGAUGGCGAGGUGGAACGAGGUCAUGUUCAUGGAGGAUGUGAAGUGGAGAGAAAAGGUGGCGGCCGAAGCAAGGAAGGUGGAAGCGGAGGAGACACAAUUGCACUCAAGGAGGACAGGCUUGCAAAAUGGAAGAAGGCCGGAGAGUGUGCUAUCAUGA